This is a long non-coding RNA of Lycium barbarum (goji berry), 2083 nucleotides long. RefSeq lists it as uncharacterized. The transcript is spliced from 4 exons. Lineage: Eukaryota; Viridiplantae; Streptophyta; Magnoliopsida; Solanales; Solanaceae. The record is from RefSeq and is a predicted model, not a curated record.
CCACGCUUCCUCUCCUUCUCCCUCUCCCUCUCCCUCGCCUCCUUCUCCUCCAUCGUUUGAAGCUCACCACCUGCCGGUGGUGGAGCUAUUAAUAACCUAAAAUAAAUGAUUAAAUACCAGCAAUAUGGACAUCAGAUGAAACCCCACUACCCCCUCCUUUUGUUCUUUGCCGCCACCCCUCCCUUUCUUCCCAAUUUUCUCUAUUCAUAAUAAUCUUCCUAAAUUAGCUUACAUACAGAGAAAAAAUGGAAAUGAGAUUAAUUUAUCACUGGAUUAUUUUAUCACUGCUUCCACUUGUUUUUCUGUAAUUAAGAAUGUCAUUGAUAGUUUUAGAGGUAAUAAUUUGUUAGGAUAACAUUUUGUCAUUAUGGGUGUAUUGAUGGUGAUGGAUUGAAGGGUUGUCAUCAUUUGGGAAGAGAAGGAUCUGAAAGUGGUGGAAUAUGGUGAAGUAAAAAAGUGGGGUUUCGAAAGGGGUUAUUGUUGGGGGAAGGUGCGAGUUGUGGGUUUGGUUGCUGAUGAUGAAGAAAUGCAACGAUGGAAGAGUGUACAGAGGCGGAGCCGUGUAAAUGGCAAUGUGAUUCGACGCAUGUUUCCAAAAAAUGAAGAAUGAGGCUUGACAGAACUAUCAAAGUCGCGAUGAUGAUGAUUCUGUUCAUGGUGUGCAUCGAAUGUCCACACGAGGACUAAUGCGACCGUUACUACUGAUAGGAAAACAAGUCCUCCCCAUGUCAUACGCACGUUUUUCUUUAAUGGUUCGCAAUGUUUUUCAAGGAUAUCGGAGAACGAAUCAUACAAUGUGUUACAUUCUGCUAGACUUUCCAUUCCGGGGUAUACAUUCAGUAUCUUUUUAAGAGCAGUUGUGUAUGCCUCGAUGUUAUUGAAGUCUCUACGAGAGAUCAAGACUCCACCUUUGCAGUUUGUAUCAGUGCAAGCCAAUAUCUUGAUUAUCUUCAUAUAAGAAGAGAAAAUUCUGUCAAAUCAAAGGUAAAGAAAAAACUAAGAACACUAACUAUGGGAAAAGAAAAUGGUAAAUCAUAGGCCUUUGAGCUAUACCUGAGGGAGGUCUCCUAUCCUGAUUGCGCUAGAUGGACAGUUCUGAUCAGGCUCGUAGUUAUACUCUGGUGGACCAGAGAAUGGAUUGCAUAUCUGUGCAACAUUUGCAUAAUGUGUAGAUAGCUCUUGAUUUACCUGCAAAUUUGCAUGUUUUGUAUACUCGUAAAGAAAACUUCAUUGUUCAAUAUCUUUCAUGAGUUGCAAAACCGAAAAGCUACUCAAAGCAAGAUGGAAGAACUUGUACAUAUGUUGGUAACUUUUUCUUGUAUUGGUUUGAUUGAUAGCCUAAUUCCAAAUUUGGUCCAUGUUCUUUCAAACUUAAAAUAUUUAGCCUCUAAAUAAUUAAAGAAUUGAGUAAACUUAAGUGUUUUUGCUAGCUGAAUCACCAAAAUGAAGAAGACAUUCUAUAACUUUACAGGCUUUUGAUGCUUUCUUGGAUUUAUUCAUCACUGUCUUUAUCAUUCUUCUACAGACCAUCCCUUACAACCUGAAAAUUUGUUCUUAUCCUAGUAACACCCUCUACAAUUCCAUGGUCACUUGUGAAAUAUAAUUAUUACUUCUUUUGCUGUGGUAUCAUUGGAUAAAGUCAAAGGGAAACAACAAAAGGAAAAAAAAAAAUCAAGAUUACCGUGUUCACUACUCGAUGAAUCCCUUCACUGACUUCAUAUAGGAUUGAUUCUGCAGAGAGUAAUUCAUCACAGGGAAGGAUUGAACUCAAGCUGUUGUUGUAGGGAUUUAUCUGGAAACUUUCUAGAGCAGUGCAUGUGUCUCCAGCAAAGCUGCAAUAAACAGAUGCAAUUUGAUCGGAUCACAAUGAGCGCAAACUUGCUGACUUACUUAUUUCAAUUAUCAUGAAAUUGCAUGGCCUGGAAAGCACAGCCGGAUCUACGACAGGAGGAAGACUUACAAUGUCUCGAGGCCUUUCUCAAUUAAAUGCUUAUUCUUCAUGGCUUCCCUAUGUAUAUCAGCAGCCUGUCUGUCAAGACUAUUAGAGGUGGGAAUGAGGAAAUUAGCAGCCUCAUCACCUAUA